This 96-nucleotide small RNA is filed under the name Salmonella enterica. RNAcentral's name for it is "partial RtT sRNA". It matches the Rfam family "RtT RNA", at positions 37 to 130 of the family's 130-position model. Rfam says of the family: This family represents a bacterial cis-regulatory element known as RtT RNA. Lineage: Bacteria; Pseudomonadati; Pseudomonadota; Gammaproteobacteria; Enterobacterales; Enterobacteriaceae. The record is from RNAcentral.
CAAGAGGUUCGACUCGAGCGCAGCGAGAGAACGUUGCGUCAGCAACGGCCCGCAGGGCGAGCCACGCAGUGGCGAGUCAUCCUCUAUCACCGACCA